This is a long non-coding RNA of Lagenorhynchus albirostris (white-beaked dolphin), 2092 nucleotides long. RefSeq lists it as uncharacterized. Lineage: Eukaryota; Metazoa; Chordata; Mammalia; Artiodactyla; Delphinidae. The transcript has 4 exons. The record is from RefSeq and is a predicted model, not a curated record.
CGGAGGGAAAACCCGGCCUGACUCACUGGCUCGCGGCCGGCCCACAGCCAGGCCCAGGCCCCCGGAUGUGGGGGGCGGGGACAGGGGCCACCCCCGCCCACUGCGUGCCAACCUGAGCCCCGCCCGGGCUCUCGGCUCCAGCCUAACCCAGCCUGCCGAGAUCCCGCGCGGCGGUGGCGCCUGAGCUCCCUGCCGGUUGCGCUGGGCGCCGCGGCCGCCCGGUGUGCGCCAGCUCCGACCCGGGCCAGUCCGCAGCCCGAAACGUGGCCGAUGCUCCCAGAGGGCGCCCAGCCCGUCCCGCUCCUCCGCUGCCGUCUCCUCUCCUCCUGCCUCGCUCGCCCGUCUCGGUUUCCAGAACCCGACAGCUUCGGAAGAGGCGCAUUCCGUCCGUCACCUCCUUGAUUCUCGCCGCCUCCUCUUAGAUUUCAGCUUCCCACCUGGGAAGGAAGACUUGAGCAACCACCCAGGAUGGCUGGCAGCCUCCCAGCCCACCCACCAUGGACCUUCCACCUUUAUGUCAUAGAGCCUGAAGCCACAGUGAUGUCCUUGAGCAGUUAGACGACAGAACAGGCAUUGGGGCUGGCAUGUGCUAAGUUUGAUAAGGUGGUGGAUAAAAGACUUUAAAGCCUAAAAAUAUAUUGCCUUAUGGUGAAGAUAUACAGAGGAUGUGGAAUGGAAACAUGAAUUCAAGGAGAAGAAGGAAAAAAUGUAAAAUUUCCAAAUGUUGAAGAAGAGCUUGUUCAUGGAUUUAAACAACUGAUGAUAGUGGCUGGACAAUUCAGCCAACUGGCACAUUUAGCACUCCAACUACCAUGCAAGGUACUUGGUUCAGGUCAAAGUGCAGAUUUUCUUGAUCAUCUUUAUGUAAGUAUUUCCUGUCCAUCUGGAGAGAAGGUGAAUAAAGAUUUAUUUUGUUUACAAUUAAUCUGUGUUUUAAUAUUCACUCUUCAAAUAUUUGAAUUCAAUUGAUUUUGAAUUCAAAUAGUUCAAAUAUCUUUAUUCCCUUUAAGGAAUAAAAAAAUUGACUGAUAGUGACCUAUCUAAGCUUAUCUUACAUAGAACACAUCAUAAUUUGAAGAUACAGUUUACCACCACUUCUCCCAUAAUCCUCCCAACUUCCUAUCCAUCUUUCCUGCUUUUUCUUAUCAUUUUCACUAUCUGACAUACUAUAGUAUCAUAUUUAUUUUUCUCUUAGGUCUGUUUAAAUCUCAUUGCUCAUAACUGUGUAAGCCUGGGACAGUCUUAGGAUGAUGUAGAAACAGGUUGGGGCUCCCCUCCUCCCAGGGUAAUAGCAGAUUCCCACCAAAUGCUGGAGCUCUUCUAAUGUAAUUUGAAAAAGGAGAUUUCCAUUCCUUGCAUCCUGAGCAUAGAUAAUCUCAUUUAAUUCUCAUGUCAACCUAACAAGGUAACAUUUAUGCCCAUUUUACAGAUGAUGAAAAUAAGUUUGAGGGAGGCUUUCCAAAUAAGUAGAAGUGACUAUUUAAUCGGAAGGUUUUACCUACCUGAUUCCACAGACCACGUUUGUUUCUCCUUAGCAUUUCUGUUUAUCUUGGGAUAAGCAAUGGUGACAGCAGCCAUCACCAAGAGCACAGGGUCCUCUUGCUAGUAUAUCCCAUCUGCAGAACUUCUGAGUGAAAAGCGGGUGCAUGUGAGGAUGCUGAGACCACAGGCAUAAACUGCAUGUGUGUUUGCCCUGGCUGUCAUGGAGCACUGACAAAAACAUCUUCAUUGCUCAUAACUACUACAGAUAUCAAUAGUCUUCUUUCUGUUUCGAUUAAAAAUUUUUAUUAGGAGAUUUUAUAUUUUGUCAAUACAAAUCAUAUGUAUGUAUAAAUGUGUAUAAAUGUAUAUAUACACAUUUAUAUAUGUAUAAAUGUGUAUAUAUGUAUAAGUGUGUAUUGUUAUAUGUAUAUAAAAAUAAUAAAAUGAGCCCUUAUGUGCCCAACAUCCAGUCUUAAGAAAUGGAACUCUAAGAAUACCUUUGAAGCCUCUCCCUCCUCUCCAUCCUCACCCUCCACGACAAACCUGCCCUGAAUUUUUAUCAUUCCUUGCUUUCCUUUAUAUUUUACCACAUAUGUAUGUAUGUGUGUUG